RNAcentral lists this unclassified non-coding RNA (363 nucleotides) under uncultured bacterium. Its description in RNAcentral is "contains 16S-23S intergenic spacer region". The record is from RNAcentral.
UCCGGGUUGGACCCGGCGGUCCCGCCAGACAUGGUAACUGGCAGCGAGGGUUGCGCUCGUUGCGGGACUUAACCCAACACCUCACGGCACGAGCUGACGACAGCCAUGCAGCAUCUGUGAAGGUGCCCCGAAGGGAGACCGUGUUUCCACGGCUGUCACCUACAUGUCAAGCCCAGGUAAGGUUCUUCGCGUUGCAUCGAAUUAAUCCGCAUGCUCCGCCGCUUGUGCGGCCCCCCGUCAAUUCCUUUGAGUUUUAGCCUUGCGGCCGUACUCCCCAGGCGGGGCGCUUAAUGCGUUAGCUGCGGCACAGAGAACCGGAGAGGCCCCCCACACCUAGCGCCCAUCGUUUACGGCGUGGACUAC